ACAGCCUUGGCCCGAGCGGUUAAGGCGAUAGACUCGAAAUCUAUUUGGGGUAACCCGCGUGAGUUCAAGUCUCACAGCUGUC
RNAcentral lists this transfer RNA (82 nucleotides) under Phytophthora infestans T30-4. It matches the Rfam family "tRNA". Rfam says of the family: Transfer RNA (tRNA) molecules are approximately 80 nucleotides in length. Their secondary structure includes four short double-helical elements and three loops (D, anti-codon, and T loops). Further hydrogen bonds mediate the characteristic L-shaped molecular structure. tRNAs have two regions of fundamental functional importance: the anti-codon, which is responsible for specific mRNA codon recognition, and the 3' end, to which the tRNAs corresponding amino acid is attached (by aminoacyl-tRNA synthetases). tRNAs cope with the degeneracy of the genetic code in two manners: having more than one tRNA (with a specific anti-codon) for a particular amino acid; and 'wobble' base-pairing, i.e. permitting non-standard base-pairing at the 3rd anti-codon position. Lineage: Eukaryota; Oomycota; Peronosporomycetes; Peronosporales; Peronosporaceae. The record is from Rfam by way of RNAcentral.